AGAUUGAACGCUGGCGGCAUGCCUUACACAUGCAAGUCGAACGGUAGAGUAGCAAUACUUGAGAGUGGCGAACGGGUGAGUAAUAUAUCGGAACGUGCCCAGUCGUGGGGGAUAACGUAGAGAAAUUUACGCUAAUACCGCAUACGAUCUAAGGAUGAAAGCGGGGGACCGUAAGGCCUCGCGCGAUUGGAGCGGCUGAUAUCAGAUUAGGUUGUUGGUGAGGUAAAAGCUCACCAAGCCGACGAUCUGUAGCUGGUUUGAGAGAACGACCAGCCACACUGGGACUGAGACACGGCCCAGACUCCUACGGGAGGCAGCAGUGGGAAUUUUGGACAAUGGGCGAAAGCCUGAUCCAGCAAUGCGCGUGCAGGAAGAAGGCCUUCGGUUGUAACUGCUUUUGUACGGAACGAACGGUCUGCUUUAAUACAGUGGCUAAUGACGGUACCGUAAGAAUAAGCACCGGCUAACGUACGUGCCAGCAGCCGACGGUAAUC
Molecule: ribosomal RNA, 494 nt
Filed under: uncultured soil bacterium
Lineage: Bacteria
Description: bacterial SSU rRNA
Rfam family: Bacterial small subunit ribosomal RNA
Source: RNAcentral